ACAUGCAGUCGAACGAUGAAGCCCUUCGGGGUGGAUUAGUGGCGAACGGGUGAGUAACACGUGGGCAAUCUGCCCUGACUCUGGGACAAGCCCUGGAAACGGGGUCUAAUACCGGAUACGACCACCGGCCGCAUGGUCUGGUGGUGGAAAGCUCCGGCGGUGAGGAUGAGCCCGCGGCCUAUCAGCUUGUUGGUGGGGUGAUGGCCUACCAAGGCGACGACGGGUAGCCGGCCUGAGAGGGCGACCGGCCACACUGGGACUGAGACACGGCCCAGACUCCUACGGGAGGCAGCAGUGGGGAAUAUUGCACAAUGGGCGAAAGCCUGAUGCAGCGACGCCGCGUGAGGGAUGACGGCCUUCGGGUUGUAAACCUCUUUCAGCAGGGAAGAAGCGUGAGUGACGGUACCUGCAGAAGAAGCACCGGCUAACUACGUGCCA
Molecule: ribosomal RNA, 438 nt
Filed under: Streptomyces sp. 1915BAB
Lineage: Bacteria; Bacillati; Actinomycetota; Actinomycetes; Kitasatosporales; Streptomycetaceae
Description: bacterial SSU rRNA
Rfam family: Bacterial small subunit ribosomal RNA
Source: RNAcentral